RNAcentral lists this ribosomal RNA (464 nucleotides) under uncultured bacterium. Its description in RNAcentral is "partial 16S ribosomal RNA". It matches the Rfam family "Bacterial small subunit ribosomal RNA", at positions 339 to 795 of the family's 1533-position model. The record is from RNAcentral.
CUACGGGACGCUGCAGUGGGGAAUAUUGCACAAUGGGCGCAAGCCUGAUGCAGCCAUGCCGCGUGUAUGAAGAAGGCCUUCGGGUUGUAAAGUACUUUCAGCGGGGAGGAAGGGAGUAAAGUUAAUACCUUUGCUCAUUGACGUUACCCGCAGAAGAAGCACCGGCUAACUCCGUGCCAGCAGCCGCGGUAAUACGGAGGGUGCAAGCGUUAAGCGGAAUUACUGGGCGUAAAGCGCACGCAGGCGGUUUGUUAAGUCAGAUGUGAAAUCCCCGGGCUCAACCUGGGAACUGCAUCUGAUACUGGCAAGCUUGAGUCUCGUAGAGGGGGGUAGAAUUCCAGGUGUAGCGGUGAAAUGCGUAGAGAUCUGGAGGAAUACCGGUGGCGAAGGCGGCCCCCUGGACGAAGACUGACGCUCAGGUGCGAAAGCGUGGGGAGCAAACAGGAUUAGAUACCCUUGUAGUC